This is a long non-coding RNA of Ictalurus punctatus (channel catfish), 938 nucleotides long. RefSeq lists it as uncharacterized. The transcript is spliced from 3 exons. The record is from RefSeq and is a predicted model, not a curated record. NCBI's taxonomy places the organism in Eukaryota, Metazoa, Chordata, Actinopteri, Siluriformes, Ictaluridae.
GUUUUCGGAUUGGCUGCUGUUUGGUUUUUCUCAUACAACCAACCAAUUAGACGCAAAGCUGCUCUGUGAGUAAAAAAAAACUGUAUAUUAAAAAAAAGCUUCAAUCUGAUGACAGUUGUUUUUUUUGUUUGUUUGCUUGGUUUUUUUUUAAAUCAAUGUGUGGUCUGCAGAAUUAAACAGUUCGUAUAUUGCAAUAACAAAAAAGAAGGUUGUUUGUAUUUCCUGUAAUAUCAUAAACAUCUUGGUUUUAUCAGAGCAAAAUGUCCCAGAACCGUGAAGGAACUCCUGCUACUCAUAAGAGCCAGUGGCGUUCCUGCAGUGGUAAGAGGAGAUGAAGGAGAAGGACAUGCAGGAGGAGCUGGCUCAGCUGGUGCGCAGGAGGCUCGAGGUGAAGAUUAGCCACGAGGAUGCUUGGCUGGCACGACAACGAGUCAUUGAGCUCAACCAGCACAAAGCAGUGCUCAAGAAAGAAGAGACUGCACAACUGAUGCGAGAAGCGUCUGCGAGAGGCAAAAGACUCUAAAGCUGCCAAAUUGAAACUGGUCCAGAGAGAGCCAAUACCUGAAAAGCAAGAUCAGUUUUAAAACAGAUGGCAUCAGAAAACCAAAGUAUGUUUAGCCAUUGUUAUGUGUAAUCAUUUUUCCUUUCUGGUAAGGAAGUUACUUACUGAGAUCAUUGUAGACUGAGUCAGCUUGCUUUGUAAGAAAAAGUGGGGGUUUCGGUGGGGACAAAACCUCAAUUUCCAUCAGCUUAUCACAGGUGUGCUGCCACUGACCUAUUGCACAAGCAAACGAGUGUUCAUUCUUUACAAAUAUUCAAUAAAAAGAAGCAUGCCGAUUUCCUUGGCUCAUAUAUGCACACCAAUACCCAUCAGUCACUCACUCUGAUCAUAGAUGUGUUGCAACAGAACACUGAGCCACUCCUGCAGUAGGUCAGGU